This 328-nucleotide long non-coding RNA is filed under the name Pan troglodytes (chimpanzee). Its description in RNAcentral is "long non-coding RNA NONPTRT011481". The record is from RNAcentral. Lineage: Eukaryota; Metazoa; Chordata; Mammalia; Primates; Hominidae.
UGCAGGGUUCCUCCAUUUUGACAUGAGUAAAUUCUAGAUUAGGUAUUUGGCAGUUAACUCAUCUGGAUAUAUGGGAACAGAAGUGCCAGACACGUAGAUAAUAUUUGGAGAACAGGAGCAGACUUGGAACAUGCUGAAUGGAGGACAAGGAAAAUUAUACUUUGGUGAAGUCCAGUAAUUCAAGUGUUUGGCUAACAAUCAUCAAGGCCACAAAAACCCAGCCUCUGCUCUUGGCAGUAUCAGGAACUUCAUGGAAUACAUCACUUUCAAAUUGCAGCUGCAAAUGGUCUUGUUAAAGUUAUAAGAGAGAAUGGAAAAAACAAUGACG